Long non-coding RNA from Octopus bimaculoides (California two-spot octopus), 625 nucleotides. RefSeq lists it as uncharacterized. NCBI's taxonomy places the organism in Eukaryota, Metazoa, Mollusca, Cephalopoda, Octopoda, Octopodidae. The record is from RefSeq and is a predicted model, not a curated record.
AGUGCUUAUGGUUUUGCCAACUCACCGCCUUGCUUCUCCUGCUCUUAUAUUGGAGAGGCGAAUAAAGUGAAAAGCCUUCAAUAAAGAAGUAAAAACAAUGUAACAGCAGUUUUCCUGGAGUCUACUACACAAGCUACGUGAGGGAUUACCUUGUUUGAAGACAACGCGCUGCCUCCCCAGGGAACCGAACCCGCGAUGUAGCAACUAUUUCCAGUAAAAACUUACACAGAGUCCCGUAGUGAUCGUUGGUGAAUAUCAUUGUUUGAUACAAAGCUAAUCCCGUGAGGAGUUUCUGAUCGGAUUGAAUAGCAGCCAUAUUGAAAAGGAUUAAAAGAACAUUCGAGAAUAGACGAGGUCAAAGACGACAAGACAAGACAAGACAAGACACAUACUCUCUCUCUCCCUCACGUCGCCAGAUAAACCAUGAUGUUGAUGAUGAUGAUGACGAUAAAAAUAAUAAUAAUAAUAAUAAUAAUAAUAAUAAUAAUAAUAAUAAUGAACAAUGAUAAUGAUAACAAGCCGUAUGAAGUCGUGUAAUAUAGCAAAGAGAAACAGCAUCGUGUGUCCCGGAAAUCAGACAUCGACUUAACUUGACGACGGUUUUGUCACUAAUUGGCAAAAACUA